GAGGCACUCGAGUUCACUCCCAACCCCAAUGUGAACGUUACCAAUCUGUUGCCUCGGCGGGAUUCUCUUGCCCCGGGCGCGUCGCAGCCCCGGAUCCCAUGGCGCCCGCCGGAGGACCAACUCCAAACUCUUUUUUUCUCUCCGUCGCGGCUCCCGUCGCGGCUCUGUUUUACUUUUGCUCUGAGCCUUUCUCGGCGACCCUAGCGGGCGUCUCGAAAAUGAAUCAAAACUUUCAACAACGGAUCUCUUGGUUCUGGCAUCGAUGAAGAACGCAGCGAAAUGCGAUAAGUAAUGUGAAUUGCAGAAUUCAGUGAAUCAUCGAAUCUUUGAACGCACAUUGCGCCCGCCAGUAUUCUGGCGGGCAUGCCUGUCCGAGCGUCAUUUCAACCCUCGAACCCCUCCGGGGGGUCGGCGUUGGGGAUCGGCCCCUCACCGGGCCGCCCCCGAAAUACAGUGGCGGUCUCGCCGCAGCCUCUCCUGCGCAGUAGUUUGCACACUCGCACCGGGAGCGCGGCGCGGCCACAGCCGUAAAACACCCCAAACUUCUGAAAUGUUGACCUCGGAUCAGGUAGGAAUACCCGCUGAACUUAAGCAUAUCAAUAAAGCGGAAGAA
Molecule: ribosomal RNA, 613 nt
Filed under: Trichoderma longibrachiatum
Lineage: Eukaryota; Fungi; Ascomycota; Sordariomycetes; Hypocreales; Hypocreaceae
Description: eukaryotic LSU rRNA
Rfam family: 5.8S ribosomal RNA (bases 228-381)
Source: RNAcentral